This 450-nucleotide ribosomal RNA is filed under the name uncultured bacterium. Its description in RNAcentral is "partial 16S ribosomal RNA". It matches the Rfam family "Bacterial small subunit ribosomal RNA", at positions 338 to 795 of the family's 1533-position model. The record is from RNAcentral.
CCUACGGGGGGCAGCAGUGGGGAAUUGUUCGCAAUGGGCGCAAGCCUGACGACGCAACGCCGCGUGGAGGAUGAAGGUCUUCGGAUUGUAAACUCCUGUUGAUCGGGACGAAAAGCUUCGACCUAACACGUCGGAGACUGACGGUACCGGUUGAGGAAGCCACGGCUAACUCUGUGCCAGCAGCCGCGGUAAUACAGAGGUGGCAAGCGUUGUUCGGAAUUACUGGGCGUAGAGGGCGCGAAGGCGGCCUGAAAGCCCCAGGCUUAACCUGGGAACUGCGUCCGAUACUGGGAGGCUUGGAUUCGGGAGAGGGAUGUGGAAUUCCAGGUGUAGCGGUGAAAUGCGUAGAUAUCUGGAGGAACACCGGUGGCGAAGGCGGCAUCCUGGACCGAGAUCGACGCUGAGGCGCGAAAGCUAGGGGAGCAAACGGGAUUAGAUACCCCGGUAGUC